Hevea brasiliensis (rubber tree) is the source of this 107-nucleotide small nucleolar RNA. NCBI's taxonomy places the organism in Eukaryota, Viridiplantae, Streptophyta, Magnoliopsida, Malpighiales, Euphorbiaceae. The record is from RefSeq and is a predicted model, not a curated record.
AUUCCAUGAUGUGGACAUCUCCUUUGAAGAUUCUUGUAGCUCUCCCAUGCUUCAUAAUGGCUCUCAUCACACCUUGGUCUGAAAGAAGUCAUUCCUUAAUUUUGCAU